UCCUGACUGACCGAUAGUGAACCAGUACCGUGAGGGAAAGGCGAAAAGAACCCCGGCGAGGGGAGUGAAAAAGAACCUGAAACCGUGUACGUACAAGCAGUGGGAGCACGCUUAGGCGUGUGACUGCGUACCUUUUGUAUAAUGGGUCAGCGACUUAUAUUCUGUAGCAAGGUUAACCGAAUAGGGGAGCCGAAGGGAAACCGAGUCUUAACUGGGCGUUAAGUUGCAGGGUAUAGACCCGAAACCCGGUGAUCUAGCCAUGGGCAGGUUGAAGGUUGGGUAACACUAACUGGAGGACCGAACCGACUAAUGUUGAAAAAUUAGCGGAUGACUUGUGGCUGGGGGUGAAAGGCCAAUCAAACCGGGAGAUAGCUGGUUCUCCCCGAAAGCUAUUUAGGUAGCGCCUCGUGAAUUCAUCUCCGGGGGUAGAGCACUGUUUCGGCAAGGGGGUCAUCCCGACUUACCAACCCGAUGCAAACUGCGAAUACCGGAGAAUGUUAUCACGGGAGACACACGGCGGGUGCUAACGUCCGUCGUGAAGAGGGAAACAACCCAGACCGCCAGCUAAGGUCCCAAAGUCAUGGUUAAGUGGGAAACGAUGUGGGAAGGCCCAGACAGCCAGGAUGUUGGCUUAGAAGCAGCCAUCAUUUAAAGAAAGCGUAAUAGCUCACUGGUCGAGUCGGCCUGCGCGGAAGAUGUAACGGGGCUAAACCAUGCACCGAAGCUGCGGCAGCGACGCUUAUGCGUUGUUGGGUAGGGGAGCGUUCUGUAAGCCUGCGAAGGUGUGCUGUGAGGCAUGCUGGAGGUAUCAGAAGUGCGAAUGCUGACAUAAGUAACGAUAAAGCGGGUGAAAAGCCCGCUCGCCGGAAGACCAAGGGUUCCUGUCCAACGUUAAUCGGGGCAGGGUGAGUCGACCCCUAAGGCGAGGCCGAAAGGCGUAGUCGAUGGGAAACAGGUUAAUAUUCCUGUACUUGGUGUUACUGUGAAGGGGGG
This 993-nucleotide ribosomal RNA is filed under the name Shigella sonnei. RNAcentral's name for it is "partial 23S ribosomal RNA". It matches the Rfam family "Bacterial large subunit ribosomal RNA", at positions 474 to 1471 of the family's 2925-position model. The record is from RNAcentral. Lineage: Bacteria; Pseudomonadati; Pseudomonadota; Gammaproteobacteria; Enterobacterales; Enterobacteriaceae.